UACGUAGGGUGCAAGCGUUAAUCGGAAUUACUGGGCGUAAAGCGUGCGCAGGCGGUUUUGUAAGUCUGUCGUGAAAUCCCCGGGCUCAACCUGGGAAUUGCGAUGGAGACUGCAAGGCUAGAAUCUGGCAGAGGGGGGUAGAAUUCCACGUGUAGCAGUGAAAUGCGUAGAUAUUAGGAGGAACACCGGUGGCGAAGGCGCCACUCUGGACAGUUACUGACGCUGAGGCGCGAAAGCGUGGGGAUCAAACAGG
RNAcentral lists this ribosomal RNA (253 nucleotides) under uncultured bacterium. Its description in RNAcentral is "partial 16S ribosomal RNA". It matches the Rfam family "Bacterial small subunit ribosomal RNA", at positions 524 to 776 of the family's 1533-position model. The record is from RNAcentral.